Molecule: unclassified non-coding RNA, 159 nt
Filed under: uncultured Hypocreales
Lineage: Eukaryota; Fungi; Ascomycota; Sordariomycetes; Hypocreales
Description: sequence contains ITS1
Rfam family: 5.8S ribosomal RNA (bases 1-105)
About the family: 5.8S ribosomal RNA (5.8S rRNA) is a component of the large subunit of the eukaryotic ribosome. It is transcribed by RNA polymerase I as part of the 45S precursor that also contains 18S and 28S rRNA.
Source: RNAcentral
GAAAUGCGAUAAGUAAUGUGAAUUGCAGAAUUCAGUGAAUCAUCGAAUCUUUGAACGCACAUUGCGCCCGCCGGCACUCCGGCGGGCAUGCCUGUCCGAGCGUCAUUUCAACCCUCAGGGCCCCCUUCCGGGGGGGACCUGGCGCUGGGGAACACCAAC